This 842-nucleotide ribosomal RNA is filed under the name Bacillus amyloliquefaciens. RNAcentral's name for it is "bacterial SSU rRNA". It matches the Rfam family "Bacterial small subunit ribosomal RNA", at positions 91 to 918 of the family's 1533-position model. Lineage: Bacteria; Bacillati; Bacillota; Bacilli; Caryophanales; Bacillaceae. The record is from RNAcentral.
UGUUAGAGGGGACGGGUGAGUACACGUGGGUAACCUGCCUGUAAGACUGGGAUAACUCCGGGAAACCGGGGCUAAUACCGGAUGGUUGUUUGAACCGCAUGGUUCAGACAUAAAAGGUGGCUUCGGCUACCACUUACAGAUGGACCCGCGGCGCAUUAGCUAGUUGGUGAGGUAACGGCUCACCAAGGCGACGAUGCGUAGCCGACCUGAGAGGGUGAUCGGCCACACUGGGACUGAGACACGGCCCAGACUCCUACGGGAGGCAGCAGUAGGGAAUCUUCCGCAAUGGACGAAAGUCUGACGGAGCAACGCCGCGUGAGUGAUGAAGGUUUUCGGAUCGUAAAGCUCUGUUGUUAGGGAAGAACAAGUGCCGUUCAAAUAGGGCGGCACCUUGACGGUACCUAACCAGAAAAGCCACGGCUAACUACGUGCCAGCAGCCGCGGUAAUACGUAGGUGGCAAGCGUUGUCCGGAAUUAUUGGGCGUAAAGGGCUCGCAGGCGGUUUCUUAAGUCUGAUGUGAAAGCCCCCGGCUCAACCGGGGAGGGUCAUUGGAAACUGGGGAACUUGAGUGCAGAAGAGGAGAGUGGAAUUCCACGUGUAGCGGUGAAAUGCGUAGAGAUGUGGAGGAACACCAGUGGCGAAGGCGACUCUCUGGUCUGUAACUGACGCUGAGGAGCGAAAGCGUGGGGAGCGAACAGGAUUAGAUACCCUGGUAGUCCACGCCGUAAACGAUGAGUGCUAAGUGUUAGGGGGUUUCCGCCCCUUAGUGCUGCAGCUAACGCAUUAAGCACUCCGCCUGGGGAGUACGGUCGCAAGACUGAAACUCAAAGGAAUGACGGGG